RNAcentral lists this ribosomal RNA (977 nucleotides) under Pseudomonas aeruginosa. RNAcentral describes it as "bacterial SSU rRNA". It matches the Rfam family "Bacterial small subunit ribosomal RNA", at positions 66 to 1037 of the family's 1533-position model. The record is from RNAcentral. Lineage: Bacteria; Pseudomonadati; Pseudomonadota; Gammaproteobacteria; Pseudomonadales; Pseudomonadaceae.
GCGUAUGAAGGGAGCUUGCUCCUGGAUUCAGCGGACGGACGGGUGAGUAAUGCCUAGGAAUCUGCCUGGUAGUGGGGGAUAACGUCCGGAAACGGGCGCUAAUACCGCAUACGUCCUGAGGGAGAAAGUGGGGGAUCUUCGGACCUCACGCUAUCAGAUGAGCCUAGGUCGGAUUAGCUAGUUGGUGGGGUAAAGGCCUACCAAGGCGACGAUCCGUAACUGGUCUGAGAGGAUGAUCAGUCACACUGGAACUGAGACACGGUCCAGACUCCUACGGGAGGCAGCAGUGGGGAAUAUUGGACAAUGGGCGAAAGCCUGAUCCAGCCAUGCCGCGUGUGUGAAGAAGGUCUUCGGAUUGUAAAGCACUUUAAGUUGGGAGGAAGGGCAGUAAGUUAAUACCUUGCUGUUUUGACGUUACCAACAGAAUAAGCACCGGCUAACUUCGUGCCAGCAGCCGCGGUAAUACGAAGGGUGCAAGCGUUAAUCGGAAUUACUGGGCGUAAAGCGCGCGUAGGUGGUUCAGCAAGUUGGAUGUGAAAUCCCCGGGCUCAACCUGGGAACUGCAUCCAAAACUACUGAGCUAGAGUACGGUAGAGGGUGGUGGAAUUUCCUGUGUAGCGGUGAAAUGCGUAGAUAUAGGAAGGAACACCAGUGGCGAAGGCGACCACCUGGACUGAUACUGACACUGAGGUGCGAAAGCGUGGGGAGCAAACAGGAUUAGAUACCCUGGUAGUCCACGCCGUAAACGAUGUCGACUAGCCGUUGGGAUCCUUGAGAUCUUAGUGGCGCAGCUAACGCGAUAAGUCGACCGCCUGGGGAGUACGGCCGCAAGGUUAAAACUCAAAUGAAUUGACGGGGGCCCGCACAAGCGGUGGAACAUGUGGUUUAAUUCGAAGCAACGCGAAGAACCUUACCUGGCCUUGACAUGCUGAGAACUUUCCAAAGAUGGAUUGGUGCCUUCGGGAACUCAGACCCGG